UUGAUAAACUGAAGCAAAGUUUUUCCUGCCUACCAACCUCCUGGAAUUUCUGGAACUUCAUCUACUGUGGUCAUACCCUUCACCACCCAGUGAAACCUAGUUAAUAAGAUAUUUUAAAGAGGUCAAUUGAUAAACUGAAGCAAAGUUUUUCCUGCCUACCAACCUCCUGGAAUUUCUGGAACUUCAUCUACUGUGGUCAUACCCUUCACCACCCAGUGAAACCUAGUUAAUAAGAUAUUUUAAAGAGGUCAAUUGAUAAACUGAAGCAAAGUUUUUCCUGCCUACCAACCUCCUGGAAUUUCUGGAACUUCAUCUACUGUGGUCAUACCCUUCACCACCCAGUGAAACCUAGUUAA
Molecule: long non-coding RNA, 356 nt
Organism: Protopterus annectens (West African lungfish)
Lineage: Eukaryota; Metazoa; Chordata; Ceratodontiformes; Protopteridae
Exons: 2
Source: RefSeq, a predicted model, not a curated record